Molecule: ribosomal RNA, 255 nt
Filed under: uncultured bacterium
Lineage: Bacteria
Description: partial 16S ribosomal RNA
Rfam family: Bacterial small subunit ribosomal RNA
Source: RNAcentral
UACGGGGGGGGGCAAGCGUUGUUCGGAAUUACUGGGCGUAAAGGCUCGUAGGUGGCCAACUAAGUCAGACGUGAAAUCCCUCGGCUUAACCGGGGAACUGCGUCUGAUACUGGAUGGCUUGAGUUCGGGAGAGGGAUGCGGAAUUCCAGGUGUAGCGGUGAAAUGCGUAGAUAUCUGGAGGAACACCGGUGGCGAAGGCGGCAUCCUGGACCUGAUCUGACACUGAGGAGCGAAAGCGUGGGGGAGCGAUCCGGG